CGGGACGGGUGAGUAACGCGUAGGAACCUGACGCGGCGAGUGGGGGAUAACGCUGGGAAACCGGCGCUAAUACCGCAUGUGGUCGCAAGAAGAAAGCAGCAAUGCGCUGUGUGAGGGGCCUGCGUCCGAUUAGCUAGUUGAUGGGGUAAAGGCGUACCAAGGCACCGAUCGGUAGCUGGUCUGAGAGGAUGAUCAGCCACACUGGGACUGAGACACGGCCCAG
This 223-nucleotide ribosomal RNA is filed under the name uncultured bacterium. RNAcentral's name for it is "partial 16S ribosomal RNA". It matches the Rfam family "Bacterial small subunit ribosomal RNA", at positions 100 to 334 of the family's 1533-position model. The record is from RNAcentral.